CUACUAAUUCAGAGGGGUCAAUUUCAUCUUGACUCAUACACCGACUUGAUAAGUACUUGACUGCACCCAAUAGCCUUCCGUCACUAAGUUAGAAACUCAAAUGGUCUGGUACUAAAAUACAGUGAGUUGCUUACAAGUGAUCAUGGUGGUCUCAGGUCGGAGGGACACUUAUACCCAUUCCCUUUAUGAGCUACUCUUGACAAUAGAGUGCUCGGCACAUGAUCAUGUUCCAUGCAAAUAUACUCC
Molecule: long non-coding RNA, 246 nt
Filed under: Elaeis guineensis (African oil palm)
Lineage: Eukaryota; Viridiplantae; Streptophyta; Magnoliopsida; Arecales; Arecaceae
Description: long non-coding RNA (EGUI_LNC081245)
Source: RNAcentral